RNAcentral lists this ribosomal RNA (324 nucleotides) under uncultured eukaryote. RNAcentral describes it as "partial 18S ribosomal RNA". It matches the Rfam family "Eukaryotic small subunit ribosomal RNA", at positions 1470 to 1796 of the family's 1831-position model. The record is from RNAcentral.
CCCUUAGAUGCUCUGGGCCGCACGCGCGCUACACUGGUCGAUGCAACGAGUUUCUUUCCUUGGCCGACAGGCCUGGGCAAUCUUUGAACAUCGAUCGUGAUCGGGAUAGAUUCUUGUAAUUUUUGAUCUUAAACGAGGAAUUCCUAGUAAACGCAAGUCAUCAGCUUGCAUUGAUUACGUCCCUGCCCUUUGUACACACCGCCCGUCGCACCUACCGAUUGAAUGGUCCGGUGAAAUCUCCGGACUGGCGCGAGUCGGAGCAAUCUGACAAACGCCGGAAAGUUGAUUAAACCUUACCAUUUAGAGGAAGGUGAAGUCGUAACA